Molecule: ribosomal RNA, 794 nt
Filed under: Streptomyces sp.
Lineage: Bacteria; Bacillati; Actinomycetota; Actinomycetes; Kitasatosporales; Streptomycetaceae
Description: bacterial SSU rRNA
Rfam family: Bacterial small subunit ribosomal RNA
Source: RNAcentral
CGAUGAACCUCCUUCGGGAGGGGAUUAGUGGCGAACGGGUGAGUAACACGUGGGCAAUCUGCCCUGCACUCUGGGACAAGCCCUGGAAACGGGGUCUAAUACCGGAUACGACACACGGAGGCAUCUCCUGUGUGUGGAAAGCUCCGGCGGUGCAGGAUGAGCCCGCGGCCUAUCAGCUUGUUGGUGAGGUAACGGCUCACCAAGGCGACGACGGGUAGCCGGCCUGAGAGGGCGACCGGCCACACUGGGACUGAGACACGGCCCAGACUCCUACGGGAGGCAGCAGUGGGGAAUAUUGCACAAUGGGCGCAAGCCUGAUGCAGCGACGCCGCGUGAGGGAUGACGGCCUUCGGGUUGUAAACCUCUUUCAGCAGGGAAGAAGCGCAAGUGACGGUACCUGCAGAAGAAGCGCCGGCUAACUACGUGCCAGCAGCCGCGGUAAUACGUAGGGCGCAAGCGUUGUCCGGAAUUAUUGGGCGUAAAGAGCUCGUAGGCGGCUUGUCGCGUCGGUUGUGAAAGCCCGGGGCUUAACCCCGGGUCUGCAGUCGAUACGGGCAGGCUAGAGUUCGGUAGGGGAGAUCGGAAUUCCUGGUGUAGCGGUGAAAUGCGCAGAUAUCAGGAGGAACACCGGUGGCGAAGGCGGAUCUCUGGGCCGAUACUGACGCUGAGGAGCGAAAGCGUGGGGAGCGAACAGGAUUAGAUACCCUGGUAGUCCACGCCGUAAACGGUGGGCACUAGGUGUGGGCCACAUUCCACGUGGUCCGUGCCGCAGCUAACGCAUUAAGUGCCCCGCC